Molecule: ribosomal RNA, 494 nt
Filed under: uncultured bacterium
Lineage: Bacteria
Description: bacterial SSU rRNA
Rfam family: Bacterial small subunit ribosomal RNA
Source: RNAcentral
AGUGAACGCUGGCGGCAGGCCUAAUACAUGCAAGUCGAACGGCAGCACAGCAGAGCUUGCUCUGUGGGUGGCGAGUGGCGGACGGGUGAGGAAUACAUGGGAAUCUGCCCAGUCGUGGGGGAUAACGUAUGGAAACGUACGCUAAUACCGCAUGCGCCCUACGGGGGAAAGUCGGGGACCGCAAGGCCUGACGCGAUUGGAUGAGCCCAUGUUCGAUUAGCUAGUUGGCGGGGUAAAGGCCCACCAAGGCGACGAUCGAUAGCUGGUCUGAGAGGAUGAUCAGCCACACUGGAACUGAGACACGGUCCAGACUCCUACGGGAGGCAGCAGUAGGGAAUAUUGGACAAUGGGGGCAACCCUGAUCCAGCCAUGCCGCGUGAGUGAAGAAGGCCCUCGGGUUGUAAAGCUCUUUUGUCCGGAAGAAAAGCAAUCGGUUAAUACCCGGUUGUUCUGACGGUACCGGAAGAAUAAGCACCGGCUAACUACGUGCCAGC